Molecule: long non-coding RNA, 1531 nt
Filed under: Nicotiana benthamiana
Lineage: Eukaryota; Viridiplantae; Streptophyta; Magnoliopsida; Solanales; Solanaceae
Description: long non-coding RNA (NBEN_LNC035545)
Source: RNAcentral
CGGUUAUGACACUCAACCAAGUCAGCCGUCCAGUCAAGACACUCAAAUGUCAACUCAGCACUCCAGCACUCAGAAUAUUCAUACCAAAAGAAACCUUAUUCAAGCAGGCUUUGGUGCAGAUUCUAACCCAUUCUUGAGGCCUAAGGUUGUGUCUGAUAUUAAGACUAGACUUCAGCUUAGGAGUCAACAAAAUUCUGGCACUAGAAAGAUACCAUUCACAGGUGAUCACACUGGUAGCUCACAACCAACGAAACUGCCAUACUCCCCAAAGAAAACUGCCUGGAAAGGGAAGGAAGCAAUGACAACAGCUCAAUUGUUGGUGUAAAAGAGAAAAAGAUUGGCAAACUCAAAGCUAGAAGAGGCAAGGGGAGGGGCAAUGGGGAGUAGUGUAGCUUCAAAAUACUUAAUGUAAUCCUUUUUUGUAUGAUUGUUCAGUACAUGAUGUUUGCAGACAAGUAAAUGUUCUAGGUUUUUAGACAAGGAAUGUAAUCCUUUUUUGCAUGACUGUUCGGUACAUGAUGUUUGUAGACAAGUAAAUGUUUUAUGUUUUUAGGCAAGUAAAUGUUGUGUUAGUGCUGUAGGUUUUUGGAUCACACAUUUAUUUGUCUAAUAACAAUGUUUUGUUGGGCUUAAACAAUGUAAAUUUGCUACUCUCAACAGUAUGUGCAUCUUACAGUUAUUUUAGAGAAUUUAAAAUACCAACUCAUCCAUCCAGUUAGAAUUUAAAUGUUAACAAAAAUGAAAUGUAGAACCAUUUCAUAAACAAAAUUUAAAUGCUAAAAAACUUCACUUCAUACCAAAAUAGAACCAAUACAUAAAUAUUACAAUUGCAGAAAAAGAUUAAAAAAAAAGAAACUAGUACAUAAACUGCAUCAUGACAUAACUAUACCAGUCCAUAACAACACUAAAUGAUCUUGAAAACUAUUACUGACACAAAGCCAAUCCAAGAUAAAACAAUCAACAACUUCAUAUUUUGUAGUUGAGCCUCCAUCCUAGCAACCUUCUGUAAUUUUGCUGAAUUUAUUCCCUCGACCUCUUCCAUUAUUUUCAGAUUUUUUAGCCUUUCUGCAAAAAUAUCAACUUCCAAGUUAGCCACCAUCUUCUUCAGAUAAUUUCUUUCAACUUCAACCGACUUCAGUGAAGUAUUCAAGUUAUGGAUUAGCAUCGUCACAUGUGGUGGCAUCUCUUCAUCACGCCAUUCCUACAAACCACAGACCUCUUUUUCUAUUUCAAUUUUUUUAGUCUUUCACCAGAAACAACAACUUCAAGGUUAGACACCAUCUUGUUCAGAUAAUUUCUUUCAACUUCAACCGACUUCGGUGAAUUAUUCAAGUUAUGGAUUAGCAUUGUCACAUAUGGUGGCAUCUCUUCAUCACGCCAUUCCCCAAACCACAGGAAGAGGCCUCGUCCAAAUGAGGCAUUUGUAGAAUCGACGACCACCGUUCAAUUGAGUCUUAGCCAAAAAAUAAUUUGCAGUUAAACAACAACUACAAAUACGCGACGAACCAGAAGAGACGGAAUUUUCAGACAU